RNAcentral lists this ribosomal RNA (463 nucleotides) under uncultured bacterium. RNAcentral's name for it is "bacterial SSU rRNA". It matches the Rfam family "Bacterial small subunit ribosomal RNA", at positions 331 to 792 of the family's 1533-position model. The record is from RNAcentral.
CCAGACUCCUACGGGAGGCAGCAGUGAGGAAUAUUGGUCAAUGGGCGAGAUCCUGAACCAGCCAAGCCGCGUGAGGGAAGACGGCCCUAUGGGUUGUAAACCUCUUUUGUCGGAGAACAAAACCCGGGACGAGUCCCGGACUGCGUGUAUCCGAAGAAAAAGCAUCGGCUAACUCCGUGCCAGCAGCCGCGGUAAUACGGAGGAUGCGAGCGUUAUCCGGAUUUAUUGGGUUUAAAGGGUGCGCAGGCGGAUUUUUAAGUCAGCGGUCAAAUCGUGGGGCUCAACCCCAUCCAGCCGUUGAAACUGGGGAUCUAGAGUGUGCGAGAGGUAUGCGGAAUGCGUGGUGUAGCGGUGAAAUGCAUAGAUAUCACGCAGAACCCCGAUUGCGAAGGCAGCAUACCGGUGCACAACUGACGCUCAGGCACGAAAGCGUGGGUAUCGAACAGGAUUAGAUACCCGAGUA